CCCUGUCAUGGUCGUGUAACAAGUAACCGUAAAACGGUAGCUAAUACCGCAUAAUGUCGCAAGACCAAAGAGGGGGACCUUCGGGCCUCUUGCCAUCAGAUGUGCCCAGAUGGGAUUAGCUAGUAGGUGGGGUAACGGCUCACCUAGGCGACGAUCCCUAGCUGGUCUGAGAGGAUGACCAGCCACACUGGAACUGAGACACGGUCCACACUCCUACGGGAGGCAGCAGUGGGGAAUAUUGCACAAUGGGCGCAAGCCUGAUGGAGAGACGGGGCCGCGUGUAUGAAGAAGGCCUUCGGGUUGUAAAGUACUUUCAGCGGGGAGGAAGGUGUUGUGGUUAAUAACCGCAGCAAUUGACGUUACCCGCAAAAGAACCACCGGCUAACUCCGUGCCAGCAGCCGCGGUAAUACGGAGGGUGCAAGCGUUAAUCGGAAUUACUGGGCGUAAAGCGCACGCAGGCGGUCUGUCAAGUCGGAUGUGAAAUCCCCGGGCUCAACCUGGGAACUGCAUUCGAAACUGGCAGGCUAGAGUCUUGUAGAGGGGGGUACAAUUCCAGGUGUAGCGGUGAAAUGCGUAGAGAUCUGGAGGAAUACCGGUGGCGAAGGCGGCCCCCUGGACAAAGACUGACGCUCAGUGCGAAAC
This 643-nucleotide ribosomal RNA is filed under the name Enterobacter sp. PM8337. Its description in RNAcentral is "bacterial SSU rRNA". It matches the Rfam family "Bacterial small subunit ribosomal RNA", at positions 126 to 759 of the family's 1533-position model. Lineage: Bacteria; Pseudomonadati; Pseudomonadota; Gammaproteobacteria; Enterobacterales; Enterobacteriaceae. The record is from RNAcentral.